CUACGGGACGCUGCAGUGGGGAAUAUUGCACAAUGGGCGCAAGCCUGAUGCAGCCAUGCCGCGUGUAUGAAGAAGGCCUUCGGGUUGUAAAGUACUUUCAGCGGGGAGGAAGGGAGUAAAGUUAAUACCUUUGCUCAUUGACGUUACCCGCAGAAGAAGCACCGGCUAACUCCGUGCCAGCAGCCGCGGUAAUACGGAGGGUGCAAGCGUUAAUCGGAAUUACUGGGCGUAAAGCGCACGCAGGCGGGUUGUUAAGUCAGAUGUGAAAUCCCCGGGCUCAACCUGGGAACUGCAUCUGAUACUGGCAAGCUUGAGUCUCGUAGAGGGGGGUAGAAUUCCAGGUGUAGCGGUGAAAUGCGUAGAGAUCUGGAGGAAUACCGGUGGCGAAGGCGGCCCCCUGGACGAAGACUGACGCUCAGGUGCGAAAGCGUGGGGAGCAAACAGGAUUAGAUACCCCAGUACUC
RNAcentral lists this ribosomal RNA (464 nucleotides) under uncultured bacterium. RNAcentral describes it as "partial 16S ribosomal RNA". It matches the Rfam family "Bacterial small subunit ribosomal RNA", at positions 339 to 795 of the family's 1533-position model. The record is from RNAcentral.